AACUCUGGUAUUGAUUGGUGCUUGCAUCAUGAUUUACAUUUGAGUGAGUGGCGAACUGGUGAGUAACACGUGGGAAACCUGCCCAGAAGCGGGGGAUAACACCUGGAAACAGAUGCUAAUACCGCAUAACAACUUGGACCGCAUGGUCCGAGCUUGAAAGAUGGCUUCGGCUAUCACUUUUGGAUGGUCCCGCGGCGUAUUAGCUAGAUGGUGGGGUAACGGCUCACCAUGGCAAUGAUACGUAGCCGACCUGAGAGGGUAAUCGGCCACAUUGGGACUGAGACACGGCCCAAACUCCUACGGGAGGCAGCAGUAGGGAAUCUUCCACAAUGGACGAAAGUCUGAUGGAGCAACGCCGCGUGAGUGACGAAGGGUUUCGGCUCGUAAAACUCUGUUGUUAAAGAAGAACAUAUCUGAGAGUAACUGUUCAGGUAUUGACGGUAUUUAACCAGAAAGCCACGGCUAACUACGUGCCAGCAGCCGCGGUAAUACGUAGGUGGCAAGCGUUGUCCGGAUUUAUUGGGCGUAAAGCGAGCGCAGGCGGUUUUUUAAGUCUGAUGUGAAAGCCUUCGGCUCAACCGAAGAAGUGCAUCGGAAACUGGGAAACUUGAGUGCAGAAGAGGACAGUGGAACUCCAUGUGUAGCGGUGAAAUGCGUAGAUAUAUGGAAGAACACCAGUGGCGAAGGCGGCUGUCUGGUCUGUAACUGACGCUGAGGCUCGAAAGUAUGGGUAGCAAACAGGAUUAGAUACCCUGGUAGUCCAUACCGUAAACGAUGAAUGCUAAGUGUUGGAGGGUUUCCGCCCUUCAGUGCUGCAGCUAACGCAUUAAGCAUUCCGCCUGGGGAGUACGGCCGCAAGGCUGAAACUCAAAGGAAUUGACGGGGGCCCGCACAAGC
RNAcentral lists this ribosomal RNA (897 nucleotides) under uncultured bacterium. RNAcentral's name for it is "bacterial SSU rRNA". It matches the Rfam family "Bacterial small subunit ribosomal RNA", at positions 65 to 930 of the family's 1533-position model. The record is from RNAcentral.